ACAGAGGAGGCGAUUAGAGGCGCUGGGCAGGGUUCCCUCCUGGCCAGGCCACAGAGGGAGUCCUAAAGUAGGCCGCACCAGCUCUUAGUGCAGCUGAAGAGAGAAGUCACCCUUCUCUUUUGUUUUGGGCCUGAGGUUUAAAGCCAUAGCUGAUAAGUAAAGCUUUCUGUGAUUUAGUUAAAAAGCUCGUGUCACCAUGUGCUGCAGUUGUGGUGGGCUUAGCUGUAGAGUGACUUAACCUUUAAUUACCAAUGGGAUUUCUAGGCCCCGGGGCACUGGAAGUGUUUCCUCUGCCAAUCAUGGACACAUCACUGGGGUCCCCACAAGCCAGAGCAGUGAGGCCAUCGAGUGGAGGGGCCUGGAGUCCUUGGUGGCAUGGUGACGAUUCACUGUGACUUGACUUUUUGAUCUUUGGUGAUGAAAUGUCACCCGGCAGCACGUGGAAUCAGGAAAGUUCACUGAGAAGGUACUUGUCUGUUUUGAAAGGACCCUGUGACAGCCAGUCUGCUCAUUCCUGCCACCUUCUAGAAGGAGCCAAGAGGGACACUUCCUAAAAAAGGGGGUUAGAAUCAUUUUUGACAGUUCUAAAAAUGAAUGAUACAGGCACAUUUUAAACCCAUUACCUAAUGUUUUAAAUGUGUAUCAUGUAAUUCUGAUGAGGGAUAUUAAUUUUUACCAACAUCAUUCUAAGAAAACAAGGCAGAGUGACAUAUCAUAAGGAAUGUAACAAGGGAAAAUAUCAUGUAUGUUUAAUGUAGUUCAGCAAGUGAUGUUUAUCUCAUUGUGAAUUCCAAAAUACCUGAAUAGAAUGGAAGUGAGACUCACUACUUUGAGAGAGUACAAAGAUAUAAAAAAAAUCAGUUGAUUUCCCCCUCAUUUGUUAGGUCAGUUGACUUUUCAGAAAUGCUGGCCAGGACUUCCUGUCCAUUAGUAGUUCAAGGGUAGAAUUCACUCUCAUGAACAGGCAAACUAGUUUGGAUUGCAAAUCCAAUUCAUCUUACUGUAAUAGGACAAGUGCAUAACUUUCUGGAACAUACCUAGAUGAAACCAUGCAGACCUUGACAUGACUUCCUUAUUAACCAGUGGUGGGAUAGUGGGAUGUAGGAGGUGCUUUUUAGAGUCUUUGGUUGUGAAAGUCUUGGUUAAGUGUGUUUAGAAAUGGUCAGCAUGAAUCUCAUGCAUGAGGGGAGUGGGAUUCACAGUGGCAGUUGGAGUGUGUUCUGGUGGUGUGCAUGCUUGCUUCUGAGUGUGCGUGAACCAAGAUGAUGUCUUGGAAACUUGGCCAAUCAUUUUGGGAAAGAAAGAGAGACUUACUAUAGCCUGAUUUUAUUGGCCUUUUAUAGGAGUAUACUCGAGAAAUACUUAACAGCAAAAAGGAACAGGUAAUGUUUUUUGAAAAAAUGUACAUUUUAUAUGGUAGUAAUACUCUCUAGAAUGUUAUUACUAAUGCUAAAAGUUUUAAUAUGAAAAGGGUCCAGGCUAAUACUUUCAUCCCUUAAAUAUCAAAUUCAUAAAACACCAGCAUUGUGAUUCUGCUUGACAAGUCACUCCUGGGACGUCCACUCUUGAGUUGGAUCUCCAGAGUGACGGCGCUCCAGAGAGAGGGUAGGAGUGCUGGGUGUCGAGUGGCAUCCCCCGGUGCCCGGGAAGCAAGCUGUUCAUGUUUGGCUUAGUGGCAGAGUGCCUGUGGGAACUGGUGGCAGGUCCCCAAGGUGGAAGCAACGACUGCUUCCUUAGUAGUUAAGGGAUCCUGGCCAACCCAUGUUGGACCAUCACGUGAGAACAAAGGCCGGAGGCCCUGACACCUGGAGAGCACCAGGCUGCUUGCCUUUGUGGGGCCGGGCCCUGCGGUGUGCAGCAAGGGUAGCACCCAUCAAAGACCCGAAAGCCACGCCCUCUGACAUUGCUGAGACUUGCCCCCGAGGCCUGAGGCCUGAGGAGGUUCCUGUUGCCUUCGUCAGGUGUAUAAGUCUUCGUCCCACACAGUUGAGGAAGGUAGUUGGUGUGAACAAUUGCUGAUCACUGGGGCGUGGAAAGAGGUUUCUAGGUUUAGGACACCCAUGUUCUCCUAAGGUCAGCCUUCGCACACUGGCCUCUCCUGCUGGGAGGACAGUGCUGCUCUCAGGAAGUGUGCACACGAGGGCUCUGUCCUCUGGGUAGCUGGCAGGCAUUGACUCUGGGUUGUCCGUCGAGGGCACGUCUCAGCGCAGCCCUGUCUUCCUUCUGUUUUGUGUUCUGGGGUGGGAACACCCCAACUCUAACUCUUGACAGAUCUCUGGAUCUGGGUCAUGGUGAUUUGAUUUUUGAGGCUGUGGUGACUCCUGUUUCUUUUCCUCUUCAGAAAACGCUGUGCGGAUUGAGUUGCCCUCAGUUAAAACUCUGACCUGUAUUGGUCUUGCUGCAAAUACUUAGGCAAGAAAUGAGCCAUCUGCUCCACUUUGGUUAAUUCUGGGCCUUCAGUGAUUCUGCUGGCAGCUGUGAACUCUCUGGGUCUCUUAGGAAACUUCCUAUUGCUGUUGCUGUUGAUGUCCGCAGCUCUGGGCUCUUUGCUGAAGUUGGGACAGUCGGCGCGCAGUUGCUCGUCACCUCUUGGCAGGGUGCUUGUUUGUGCUUAGUCAAUGCCUCCCUGGCUGACGGGGGCUUUCCUUUGCGGUUCAGUGUCACUGUUUUAACCCCUUCUUCUGCAGUGUCAUUAUCCGCGAGGAGGCGGUGUCAGGGGCUCCAAGUGGAACAAGAGGUCGGAGCUGUGUCAGGGUUCCUUCCAGCAGCCACGACAUUUGUGCUUUCUUCACGUCCACAAAGACGACCGGACUGGGGAGCCACGGGCCCUGCACGGGGGCCAGUGUGGAAGGUGCUCUGGGUGGCUGGUGCAUGGAUUCGGAUUGAGUGAAAGCCCACAGUUGUACUGUGAGUUGAAUACCCCGAUGCUUGGCAGAGCCUACCUAGUCCCACUAACCAGUACUUACAUGCUGCCCUUUACUAAUGACCAGCUAGCUGUGCCUGUGUAAGGCAAGUUCAGAGCAGCUGUUACUGUGUCUGUUAAUGUGUUUAUCAGCGCUUGAGCAUCAAUGCUGUAAAACCCUUAUGUGUGUCCAUCUAUGCAGAGGUGAAAUAAACUAUGUGGAACGCCAGUGCCCCACAAGUCUGUGUGUGCUUGCUUCUCCCCCGCUCGGCAGCAGGACGCCAGGCUGGGCGUCCCCCAGGGCUGGCAUCCCCCAUCUGUGAAGCAAGCUGUCCAGCUCAGAAUGCCCGAGGCCAAGUUGCCCCUCACAGGUCCUCACGGGGUCCUGCUCCUUUGACCCCCUUCCUCUCCUUCCAGAGAGGCCCACUGAUCUGAGGACCUGUCCGCGGCCUGUUGUGUGGUGGGGUCAGCUGGUUACAGGGGGAAACCAGUUGAGGCUUGGGAGGAAGAAGUUUAUCACCUGCCGAGGUCUCAUGGAGGGUCACUUCAUCCAGGCAGGGUCAAGGGGAGAAACGCCAGGUGGUCAGGACAGGGGAGAGGACAAAGCCAGGCUGGGCCCUUACCUGUGCUUCUGUGAGAAACAGCCGGGCAGAGCAAUCAGCUCAGGAUUGGCUACUUUCAGUGGGGUGAGCCAUGGGUGUCUCUGGUUGCCUGGUCCCUGGCUCGGGGGUUUUAGGCAUGGAGCACCUUGGUUGGUGUCUGAGUGUCGGGGCAGAGGUAGGGUGUCUGAGGGGCAUGCCCUGGGCAGGCCUGCGCUGGCUGGAGGAACCGGCUGAUGCUGAAGGUGGCCGGAUCUCCCCAGUGGCGAGCUCUGCAAGAUGCCCAGACCUGGAGGGACCAGGGAGUGUCACAGGCUCCCCUGUCCCCUUCCCCCCAGGAGCACCUCCUCAUCCCACUGGAAUCCCAGAGGGCCUGGGGCUGGAGCCAAGGUGCCUCCCUGCCCCUGUGCACCCCAGCUCUUCAGAACAGACUGAGAAACAGGCUCAGUGGGGAGCAGAGGAGACCAGCUGCAUGUGCACCCCCAGCGGGAGAGCAGCACUGGUCUCUGCAGAUGGGCUGCGAAGCCCCAUCAGGUGGGCCCCAGCGCACUGGGAUGCAGAGCCUCAGGAGCCUGAGGUGGGCCCAGCUCACAGGCAGGUCCUCAGGACAGGCUGCAUGUGAGGAAGGGGCAGUCCCAAUAUUUUCCCAGGGAGAAGGAGCAAGGAGAGUGAGUCUCAGCAAGGCCAGAACUGUGACAAAAUCCCUACAUUUUGGAACAGUUCCGUGAGUGGCCCUUCGGAAGGCUCGCCUGUCCUUGGGAGCAGCAGCUUUUCCUGUGUGUGACAGGAAGUGACCUCUGUGGCCCAGAGCCCUCUGAGCUCUCAGGUCACCGCACACUUGGACCUGAAUUCCAGAGCUGGAUGAUCCCCACAGAAGGGGAGGUGCGGCUCCAGCCCAGCUCAGCGGGACGUGUGGACCCAGGCUGGCCAUGCCCAGGAGGAGAGGGCUCCGUGACAAGGCGCAGCACUGCCUGGUGUCUGGAGAUGGGUCGAUGCUGAUGCACACGCUGGGGUUGGCCACACAGUUACUGCACCAUGAGGUAAGUGUUCUCCUGGUCCAGUCUUCACCCUGGUCUGAGUGACAACCAUCCUGUCACCACCCAGCUCCCCUCCAAGUCGGGGUCCACAUCCCCUCCUCAGCCCCCAGCCCUGUCUCCACCUGUCAGUUCUCCUGUGAACGGGAAGUGAGCACUUGCAGACCCAGACCUCACUGCUCAGUGGGCACUGGAGGACCCCAGAGCCACUGCUGAUUGGUGGCAGUCGGUCCAGACAGUUUCCCUCAUGGAUCUCUCUUUACUCAGAGGGGACAGGAACGUUGCUGAAGGGCGGAGAUGUGCUCAGUACCCCAACUGCUGUCUCUGUCUCUCUCCUGCAUUUUCUUCUGCAAAGAUAUUAUUCAAUUUGAACUUCCCUGAGCCUCAGUGUUUUCCUUGCCAAGUUUUAGGAUUUGGAUAAUAAAUCAGAGUGGCUUUCUUUGCAGCCUUUGAAACUAGAUGUAAUGACAAAAAACAUACAGGCUUUUCAGACUGAGGUGAUGAAUCAUCUAGCAGAAGUCGGGUGAACGAGGUCCAGGAGAACAGUUCACAUAACUCUAAUAGUCUUGCUCAGUGAGAAGAAGGAUUUUAAACCUCUUUAGAUAAAUGAAAUAAAAGCUAUUUGUGCAAA
Marmota flaviventris (yellow-bellied marmot) is the source of this 5166-nucleotide non-coding RNA. The record is from RefSeq and is a predicted model, not a curated record. Lineage: Eukaryota; Metazoa; Chordata; Mammalia; Rodentia; Sciuridae.